Molecule: long non-coding RNA, 201 nt
Filed under: Sorghum bicolor (sorghum)
Lineage: Eukaryota; Viridiplantae; Streptophyta; Magnoliopsida; Poales; Poaceae
Description: long non-coding RNA (SBIC_LNC015865)
Source: RNAcentral
GCCCCACUGGACUUCAUUUGAGUGGCUAACUCUCAGAAACCAAUCCUUCCAUCCCACGAUAGGACUGGGCCAGGAACGAAAGGUAUCCUUCCACAGAUCUAGAGAAAAGUUCUCGCCUCUAAAGGGGAUUCUGUUUGUUUCUGUGUUGAUUAAAUCGGUGGGAUCUGGGUUCCCUAACGGACCAAGAUAUUGAAGAUGUGG